CAAGUCGAGGGGCAGCAUUUCAGUUUGCUUGCAAACUGGAGAUGGCGACCGACGCACGGGUGAGUAACACGUAUCCAACCUGCCGAUAACUCGGGGAUAGCCUUUCGAAAGAAAGAUUAAUACCCGAUGGUAUAAUUAGACCGCAUGGUCUUGUUAUUAAAGAAUUUCGGUUAUCGAUGGGGAUGCGUUCCAUUAGGCAGUUGGCGGGGUAACGGCCCACCAAACCAACGAUGGAUAGGGGUUCUGAGAGGAAGGUCCCCACAUUGGAACUGAGACACGGUCCAAACUCC
Molecule: ribosomal RNA, 290 nt
Filed under: uncultured Bacteroides sp.
Lineage: Bacteria; Pseudomonadati; Bacteroidota; Bacteroidia; Bacteroidales; Bacteroidaceae
Description: partial 16S ribosomal RNA
Rfam family: Bacterial small subunit ribosomal RNA
Source: RNAcentral